CCUACGGGAGGCAGCAGUGGGGAAUAUUGGACAAUGGGCGAAAGCCUGAUCCAGCAAUGCCGCGUGAGUGAUGAAGGCCUUAGGGUCGUAAAGCUCUUUUACCAGGGAUGAUAAUGACAGUACCUGGAGAAUAAGCUCCGGCUAACUCCGUGCCAGCAGCCGCGGUAAUACGGAGGGAGCUAGCGUUGUUCGGAAUUACUGGGCGUAAAGCGUGCGUAGGCGGUUAUUCAAGUCAGAGGUGAAAGCCCGGGGCUCAACCCCGGAACGGCCUUUGAAACUAGAUAACUAGAAUCUUGGAGAGGUCAGUGGAAUUCCGAGUGUAGAGGUGAAAUUCGUAGAUAUUCGGAAGAACACCAGUGGCGAAGGCGACUGACUGGACAAGUAUUGACGCUGAGGUACGAAAGCGUGGGGAGCAAACAGAAUUAGAUACCCUGGUAGUCCACGCCGUAAACGAUGAUAACUAGCUGUCCGGACACUUGGUGUUUGGGUGGCGCAGCUAACGCAUUAAGUUAUCCGCCUGGGGAGUACGGUCGCAAGAUUAAAACUCAAAGGAAUUGACGG
This 561-nucleotide ribosomal RNA is filed under the name uncultured bacterium. RNAcentral describes it as "bacterial SSU rRNA". It matches the Rfam family "Bacterial small subunit ribosomal RNA", at positions 338 to 916 of the family's 1533-position model. The record is from RNAcentral.